RNAcentral lists this transfer-messenger RNA (351 nucleotides) under Thermoanaerobaculia. RNAcentral describes it as "QHVT01 sp019244185 Standard tmRNA". It matches the Rfam family "transfer-messenger RNA". Rfam says of the family: Bacterial tmRNA, also known as 10Sa RNA or SsrA, is named for its dual tRNA and mRNA-like properties. Its role is to liberate the mRNA from a stalled ribosome. To accomplish this part of the tmRNA is used as a reading frame that ends in a translation stop signal. Lineage: Bacteria; Pseudomonadati; Acidobacteriota. RNAcentral also lists the same sequence under 1 other name. The record is from RNAcentral.
GGGGGCGCACCGGCUUCGACGGGAACACGUCGGGGUCAUGGUUGCAUGCCGAGCGGAUCACCUCGUUAAACCGAUCAAAACACGCAAUCGCGAACAGCGACUUUGCCCUCGCGGCUUAAUUGACCUCGAGCGCUCCUCCAUCACUCGCUCACGGUGAUGGAACGAGCGUCAUGAUGUGAGCUGGCGGCGCGCGCAACGCCUACGCGCGCGUCCGCGAGAUCAAGAGGCUGGUCCACGUCCGGUUCCCGCUCUCCGGACAGGCCGUGGACGAGAUCAAACGAAGAGCUAAGCAUGUAGGAGCCAGGCUGCCACUGUUUUCGGACGCGGGUUCGAUUCCCGCCGCCUCCAUCU